This 76-nucleotide transfer RNA is filed under the name uncultured Nocardioides sp. RNAcentral describes it as "tRNA-Undet-???". The record is from RNAcentral. Lineage: Bacteria; Bacillati; Actinomycetota; Actinomycetes; Propionibacteriales; Nocardioidaceae.
GUAGAGGCCCUGGGCUACGGGGUCGCCCAUCUUUGCAAGGCGGGGGUUGAGGGUUCGAUUCCCUUCGUCUCCACCA